Ictalurus punctatus (channel catfish) is the source of this 603-nucleotide long non-coding RNA. The record is from Ensembl. Lineage: Eukaryota; Metazoa; Chordata; Actinopteri; Siluriformes; Ictaluridae.
CCAUUGUUUUGUUUAUUCUGGGUUUGAUUCUGCCAUGCCUGCUAGCCUGAUCACUGCAGGUCUUUAUUUAUGUCUUUUGCCUUGUGAUCUGGGUAUUAUAAUCUUUAUUAAAGCUUCAAUUGCAUCCUGCCUAACUCUCAUUAUGGGACAGGUAUCACCAUAUUCUAGUAAUAUUGACGUUUAACAGCAAAAUCCACCCUGAGAAAUCUGAGAAGGGUUACAAAGCUAUUUCAAAGGCUCUGGGACUCCAAAGAACCACAGUGAGAGCUGUUAUCUCCAACCGGAACAAUUCAGCACAGUAGUGAACCUUCCCAGAAGUGGCCGACCCAGAAAGAGUGUCUUAUUACACAGUUGAGGGUAAAUCAAACCUGCAAAUUAAAUACUACAUUAAAUCCUAAUGUCAGUGCGAAACUGUCCACAUUUCCUUAUGUCCAGCAGUCAGAGAGCCUGUGCUGGGAUUUGGAGUCAACACUUCUGUUACUCAGCUAGUGCAGCCUUCAGAUGUUGGCAUGAAGCAGCAGUUGCACGUCACAGCCGAUGAAAAUUAGACUCCACAAACUCAGUGGCUCUUUUUCUAGAAGUUAUAAAAGCAAGGCAGACUGG